This 425-nucleotide ribosomal RNA is filed under the name bacterium. RNAcentral's name for it is "partial 16S ribosomal RNA". It matches the Rfam family "Bacterial small subunit ribosomal RNA", at positions 355 to 776 of the family's 1533-position model. The record is from RNAcentral.
UGGGGAAUAUUGCACAAUGGGCGCAAGCCUGAUGCAGCGACGCCGCGUGAGGGAUGGAGGCCUUCGGGUUGUAAACCUCUUUCGCCAGUGAAGCAGGCCAUCUUCUUUGUGGGGUGGUUGACGGUAGCUGGAUAAGAAGCGCCGGCUAACUACGUGCCAGCAGCCGCGGUAAUACGUAGGGCGCGAGCGUUGUCCGGAAUUAUUGGGCGUAAAGAGCUCGUAGGCGGCUGGUCGCGUCUGUCGUGAAAUCCCCUGGCUUAACUGGGGGCUUGCGGUGGGUACGGGCAGGCUUGAGUGCGGUAGGGGAGACUGGAAUUCCUGGUGUAGCGGUGGAAUGCGCAGAUAUCAGGAGGAACACCGGUGGCGAAGGCGGGUCUCUGGGCCGUUACUGACGCUGAGGAGCGAAAGCGUGGGGAGCGAACAGG